CAUCUAGGGGGACGCAUUCAUUGCAAAGGAAACUCUAAAAAAGAAAGAAAAACGUGUGGCUGCUUAAUUUCUUGAUAAGGUGGAGCCGCAUGAGGGCAUGAGUUCAGUAUAUAAGUGGAUGCAAGCUUCAUCCCUUGACCAUUAGGCCUCUUUGGGUUACUGAAUACUAAGAGCAGCUCCAAAUUGCAAUGGCGAAUUCAGCAGUAGUGUGGUUAGCAUCCGUAUGGCUUGUGUCCAAUAUCUUGUCCCUUCCAUUCCUGGCAUUGGGCAUAUCUUCUUGUGGUGGCUCAUGUCAAACACUUGAUGACUGUGACGGUCAGCUCAUAUGCAUCAACGGUAAAUGUAAAGACGACCCCGAAGUCGGGACUCACAUAUGCGGGGGAAGUUCAAGUACCCCUUCCCCUCCGGUCUCCUCCUCCACGCCUGCCAUUCUAACUAACAACAAUUUUGAAAAAUGAGGGGACGGUGGAGGCCCAUCGGAGUGCGACGGCAAAUACCAUGACAAUUCAGAGCGCAUCGUAGCAUUGCCAACUCGGUGGUAUGAUGGGGGAUCCCGGUGUGGGAAGAUGAUUAGGAUAACGGCUCCAAGUGGGAGGAGCGUGUUGGCCAAAGUGGUGGAUGAGUGUGAUUCAGCGGACGGCUGUGCGAAUAACAUAGUUGAUGGAUCUGAUGGUGUGUGGGCUGCUCUGGGGCUGGAUAUCAAUCUUGGUGAAGUGCACGUUACUUGGUCCAUGGCUUAGAUAUCCGUAUGGUUAAUGAGUUGGGUUGGUUUUUUGUGUUCCCCUCUACUUUGGUUAUGAUGUAAUUUUGCAGCAAUAUGCACUGAAAUAAAAUAGCUGGAAGGCGCUAGCCCAGUGCCACCAGAACCCCAUUGACUGGUUUGAUUAAUAAAGAGUGAUUAUCGGCAGAAUGAACUACUUCAAGUCUUCAACCAUCACAUCGAUUAAUUAAUAAAGAAUCCCAUCAACUGUUGUUAUCCUCCUUAUACACAUUGAUUAAUUAGGCUUUAUAAACACCUACGAAACUUAAAGAUUGUUUUCCCUGAUGAUCAGUACUUCACAGUUACUUUGUUCACCACAACAUACAUCGUCUGAACAUUGGGCAGCAGCCGAUUAUUGUCUCUGUACCAUUAAUUAUCGAUCCUAAUCAACUCAUUUUUAUCCAAUCGUACUGGGCAGUACUUACAAGACAAGUCUUUAUUAUUAUUUUUUCAACAUUACAGCUAUCAAGAAAUCAUUUAAGCUUAUUAUUUUAAUUUGUUGAACAAGUUAACUUCAUUGCAUAGUUAUUAAACCACCUAUUAAUAAAUAAUUUUUAUUUUUAAUAAAUUAAUAUAUAAAAUUAAAUAAACCCAAUCCAGUUAUUAAAAUAUCGUUGAGCUAAAAAAAUGAGCUUAUUUCUCAAAUAAGCUGGAGGGGCUCGAACCCUCACAAAAUAUUUAAGGAGUGUCCAAUAUACCACUAAAUUAAUUAUAAUUAUUUUAUAAUUAAAUAAAAAAAUUUCAUUUAGUAGAUUAAAAAAAAUAUAAAAAUUAUCAAGAUAAUUUUCUUUAUAGUGUUUUUAAUAUUAAAAAAUUAUACAUUUAUCAUCAUUUACUUUAUAUCAUUUAAUACAGUUGAAUUAAAUGUAUCAUAAUUUUAAUAUUAAAUAUAUUUAAAAAUUAGACAUAUUACAAUCAAAUAUCACAAUAUUAUUAUCGAAUAAUAUUUUAUGUAAUUUAAUAAUCAAUGUACACUUUUAUUUAUGUAAUUUAAUAAUCAAUGUACACUUUUAUAUAUAUAUAUAUAUAUAUAUAUAUAUCAAUUUCUUCAACAAAACAAUUUUAAAAAGUCUAUUAUACUUCUAAUUUCAGUUUUAAGAGUUUUUUUUUAUAUAUUUUCAUAAAUUUUGAUCAAAUUUAAAUUAAUCGAUAUUUUUUAUCAAAAUAUCUGUCUAUAUAUCCAUAAAAUCAAAAUAUCGAUAUAUUCGUGAUUACUGAUAAUUUUAUCCUUGACCCAAUCAUUAGUAAAAAUAAAUAUUACACCCAAUAAAUUAUUUAUAUAUAAUAUUAUAAUCUAAACUAAAUUAUGUAUAAAUAAAUUUGUUCAAAGAAAGUACAUGUCAAACAAAUUUUCAUUUAAUUCCUAGUAAUUUGUUUUAAACAUAUUAAAGUAGUUGAAAUACAAAUGUUCAAUCAAAGUUUUAUUUAAUUUUUAAUCUAUCAAAUGAGAAUAUCAUCAAACUUCCUAUAAGAAAACAUUGCUUUCCACAUAAAAGAAUCAACUCCAAAUUAAAUUUGCACUAUCACCAAUAUCUGCUUCAAAAAUUACACAAAAACCUAAAGUUUAGUAGUACAAAUUAAGUUUUCAAUAUCAUAUACUAUUUUUGAAGAAUUCUCUUGUCACUAUAAACAAAUACUUGUCUUUAUGAUAAAAUUAAUUUGAGUAAGGAUCUAAGGUAUAACUUACUUGCCCUAAGAAAAUUUUAACUUCAACCAUUUCAAAUAUAAGAUCGCGUUAUACCUCAAAUAAUAGAGUAUAAUAGUAUUAAGAAUUCAAUAAACUACUACUACUUCUUCUUCUUCUUCUUCUUUAUUUUAAGCAAAAUAAUAUAUAUUUCAUCAUAAACCAUACUAUUUUAACUUCAACCAUUUCAAAUAUAAGAUAGAGUUAUACCUUAAAUAAUAGAGUAUAAUAGUAUUAAGAAUUCAAUAAACUACUACUUCUUCUUCUUUAUUUUAAGCAAAAUAAUAUAUAUUUCAUCAUAAACCAUACUAUUUUAACUUCAACCAUUUCAAAUAUAAGAUAGAGUUAUACCUUAAAUAAUAGAGUAUAAUAGUAUUAAGAAUUCAAUAAACUACUACUUCUUCUUCUUUAUUUUAAGCAAAAUAAUAUAUAUUUCAUCAUAAGCCAUACUAUUUUAACUUCAACCAUUUCAAAUAUAAGAUAGAGUUAUACCUCAAAUAAUAAAGUAUAAUAGUAUUAAGAAUUCAAUAGACUACUUCUUCUUCUUCUUCUUCUUCUUCUUCUUCUUCUUCUUCUUCUUCUUUAUUUAAGCAAAAUCAUAUAUUAUUCAUCAUAAACCAUACUAUUUAUCAUUAUCCUAAUAAUACUAAACUCAAGGUUACGUAUAAUAAAAUGAAAUAUCUAAAAGUAUUUUUUUGAAUUCUAUAUAUGUUAAAAACUAGUAUUAAAUUAAGAAAAAUAAAAUAAAGAAAAAGAGUAUUAAUGCAUGUUUACAGCUAAAUAAUGCAAAGAUUGAGUGUCAUUUUGAUAAAAAGGCCACGAAGUACGUGAUACAUAGGAUUUGGUUAUCUCAAUGUAUUAAAACCAAUGCUAAAACCUGCUUGAAGAAAAAAAACUAGAAUACUCAUACCCUAAUUAAGUACCACAAUAAAUUAAUAUCAUAAAACAUUAUAAUAAAUUUACCUUUGAUUAGAAUUUGUAUUCAUCUCAAGUAACCAAACAAAUUACCUCUAAAUUAUUUUAAAAUUUUGCAUAGUUUAGUUCACAUCAUUGAAAAUAAAAAGGUUUUUCAAAUGUCAUGAUCACUAUAUAUUUUCUAUCAAUGCAUAAUUUCAAUAAUUAUGUAAUCUUGCUUUUACAUUGAUACAUGGAAGCCACUCGCUUCUUAUUUCACAACUCGUCAUUUGAACACUUAACCAAUAAAUGUUUUUUUUUUUUCCGUUUUUUCUUAAUUUUAAAUUUUUUAUUUAUCUUUUCAUUUAAAUAUAGAAAGAUCUUUAUUACAAAUGUAUUUAAAAUAAAAAAUAUUUAGAGCUAUUAAAAAUCUAUUUAAAUUGAAUUUAUUUAUAUCUAAAAGAUUUUUAUUCUUUUUAAGUUUUUAAAAUGUACUAUAAACUAGUGUAUCUGUUAGCCAACGAUUCUCCAGAUCGUGUUUUGAUGAUAAAAAAGCAUAGUUAAGUUGUUAAUUUUUUUUGAAUUAUAAAGAAUUUCAAGUGUUAGUUUGAAAAUCCAUUAAAGAACCCAAUGGAUGUAAGAUAAAGACAAUUGGAAAAUUUUACUCAUAGAAAACAUAUAUAAGAUGAAUGCAUGGAUGCAUUUAGGUUUUUCAUAUCUUUUCAUGCAUCUUUAAAAACUCAGUUUAUGCUUUAAAGUUACAUUUACAUCAAAACUUAAGUUUUAUUAAAUGAACUUUAGGCAAAUCAUUUCAAAAUUGGCAUAAUAAUUUACCUAAAAACCUUACCUAAGUGUUAGAAGAAAAAAAAACAUAAAAAAAAAAAGUUUUUGGGCCAAAAAUUGUAAACCAGUCGAGGCACUGGCCAACUAGCUCAAUUGACUAGGGUGCCGAUCAACCGAUUACACCUUCUCGAUCGAGGUCCGAUUGAGAGAUGCAAAAAAUCUUCUCUCUCUUCCAAUAGCCUUGCAUUCUUGAUCGAGGAAUAUGUCUUCCCGAUCGAGGCCUAACGGUCACCUAACAAGCAUUUAUUGCCCAAUAGUUAGUUAACCAGUCGACCUCCAGCUCGACCAAUCAAGGUUAUUUUUUUUUUUGGUCUUUUUGGCUCUCAAGGCUAUAAACUUAUAAAUUGAGAACUCGACUUCAUUUAUGAGUAAGAGAACACCUACAUUUAUUUGUCUACCUACUUGUUCUUGCCUCAAAAACUUUAAUUCUUUCAUUAGUUCAUUAAAUUUUCAUUUGCAUAUUCCUUAAUGCACCCUUAUGAUUCAUCCUAGCAUUUGAGUUGUAUUUAAGCCCUUGUUGAGCUAGGUUGAAAGAUUUGAUUUUGUUAUUCGAUUGUUAGAACCUUUAAGUGAGUAAAGACUUGAAAAUAUUGUAUAAGAGCUCAUUUGAGCUAAAAUCCAAGUGUAAAUGUGUCAGAAGCUUGGUUGAAACUUCAAAUAUAGUAGAACCCUCACUCGGUUAGGAGCUUGAGAAGAGUGGACGUAGGCAAGGGGUGUCGAAUCACUAUAAAAUCUGAAUUUGCUUCUUCGAACCUUAUCUCUUAUGUAUGUGCUUCCUUUACUUGAAUUUGUUGUGGUUGAAAACAAAAAUUAAAACCCAAUUCACCCACCCCUCUCUCUAUCUCUCUCUCUCUCUCUUUACCUCUUGGGUGUUUUCUCUAUUAAGAUUAGUCUUUAUUUUCUCAGUAUCUAAGAACAUAAAUAUGUGUUUUCACUCUUAAUAGCCCAAAAUAGAUUCUUUUUAAUCCAAUUAAUUCAUUUGAGAAUAUAUGGAAGAAUAAAAACCAAUCAAGACACAAGACAAAAGAUUAUUUACAUGGAUUUCCAUACAACAUGUGGAAAUAAAAAAACUAAAAAAAAUACCAUAGAGUCAAAGACCUCAAAUUUAUAAUCCACUUAUGAGAGUACAACAAAGUUUUACCUAACAGACAUUAUCCCUAAGACUUACUCUUCAAUACUCAUACUGCAUUUUACAUCCGCGAUACAACACCUUGUGUGCUCCCAAUGGAUCUCACCUUAGUAUUUGAAGGGAUGUAGAUCUCUUUCACAAUCUAACAAAAGCAAACAUGAACACUUCUUUGAGAGUUUUGGAAAGAAUAAGACAAAUUAGAUUUUCUAAUUCAGAAGCACUAAGCCAAAAACCUUUUUAAGCAAGGCAUAUGUAGGCCUAGAGACCUAGUGGAUCGAUACUUAGAAAAUCCUUGAUUUAAAUCCAUUAAAAAAUGGAAAGAGUGAACUCCAAAAUUUUGGAGGAUUCUAUCUCAUGUGCUUAUGCGCCCUUAUAGCCCUUGAGUGCUCUUCAAGCAUUGAAUUUAGUGCUCUUUCUCUUUUCUUUUUGGGAGAAUUAUGUUUUAGAGGUAGAUAAGCCCCCAAAUUAACAAAAUGUUCAUAUAACUCUUCAAAUUGAGUUGAAGGAUAUGAAAUAGUAACGGACAAAUAUACCCUUUAAGAACACAUAAAAUAUUUUAUAAAAUUAAGUUAAAUAAAAAAAUUUUAAUAAUUUUUUUUUCAAAAAUACUAAAUUAAAUAAAAGUGGUUUUCAAAAAUAUUAAAUUAAAUUUUUUUUUCAAAAAUAUUAAAUUAAAUAAUUUUUUUAAAUAUUAAAUUAAAUAAAAGUAUUUUUAAAAAAUAUUAAAUUACAUAAAAGUAUUUUUAAAAAAUAUUAAAUUAAAUCAAAAAUAUUUUUAAAAAAUAUUAAAUUAAAUAAAAGUAUUUUAAAAAAUAUUAAAUUACAUAAAAGUAUUUUUUAAAAAUAUUAAAUUAAAUCAAAAAUAUUUUUUAAAAAUAUUAAAUUAAAUAAAAGUAUUUUUCAAAAAUAUUAAUUUUUUUCUCAAAAUCAACAAAGGACAUUUUUGGAAAUACUGAAGGAUAAUAUCCUUCAACUCAAUUUUCAUACUUUCAUUGAGUCUUGGGAUCAAUUUGAAGAGUUACACGGACCUUUUGUUAAUUUGGGGGCCCAUCUACCCCUAAAACAUAAUUCUCCCUUUCUUUUUUUCUUCUCUCUCUCUAUAUAUAUAUAUAUAUAAUAAAAGGUUAAUUAAUUUUAUUAUAUUUUACAAAUAGAUUUAUACUUUUUCUUGCAUUAUUUUAAAAUAAAAUUAGAGUAAAGAAAAUGAAAAAUAUAUGAACAAAUUUAAUUUUAGUAUUUUUAUUUUUAAAAACGAAUUUUCAUUUUGCUCAACCCAAAGCUGUUUGGAAGUGAUCAUUUUCAAAAGUAUGGGAAACCAAAGGCAGCUAGAGAUUUAGUUAUAGUGUGUAGCAUGUGCAAAGACUUUGAACUCAAACCACCAAGGUGUACAACCUCUCUCUCCCUUAAUUGCAUUCGUUCACGAUCCCUUUAGAUACUUCUUCCCUUUUGGGUCAUGUAAAGUAGUGGCAAGACAAAUCCGAAUUGAUUCCUUACUAUAUAUAUAUACUUCUUCCCUAAUAUCUCGUGAUCACGAUCCCCUUUAGAUACUUCUUCCCUUUGUGGCAAGAAAAAUCCGAAUUGAUUUCUUACCAUAUAUAUAUACAUAUGAUAUGAUGUUCCAUAAUACGGUCAAAUAUAUUUACUUUUAAAGUUUCUUUCUCCACAUUAUUUUUCUUAUAUAGUAGAUUUAAAAUAUUCUUUAUCUACCCAUUUGCCGAUGCAUGUUUGUAAUUGUGGGAGUCAUUAGCAUUAAUUAUUGAAGGCAUGUGUCUAACCUAAAAAGAAGUUAGCAUUAUCGAAGGCCUAGUCUUAUGGAUGUGACUAAAGGAAGGAGAGGCCAUCAUACUCAUCCUAGUGCCAAUUAACUCAAAAUGACUGAGGAUAAUUCUUUGAUGGGGUAAUUUUUGAACAAGAUGAUAUUAUAUGAUAAGAAAAAGGUCUAUGUGAUAUUUGAAUAUAAUUUGAUAUUUACUUUGCUUAAAAAAAAAACUUUAAAAUAUUAAAAUGAGAGUCCAUAAAAAUUGAAGAAUGAUUUUUAUAAUUUAAAAAUAAAUAUAGUAAAUGCGUCACAUCAAAUUAUGGCACGCCACCUAAGAAUAGGAUAAGGAACCUAAAGUACAAAGAUCCGUCAUUUUCAAAUUGUGUGGCGGGUUGAGUGUGGGGAAUAUCAUCCUAAGAGUGAGACUUUUCUCAAUAGUACAGUAAUUUUAAAAAGUUAUGCUUAAAUUAUUAUAGUAGAAGAAGUUAUUAUAAAUAUAUGGUAGUUUUUGCCACCUAAGAGAGAGGAGAGAGAGUGAACCGAUAAAUUUUUUUUAAAACCAAAAUUGUCUUUUCAAAAGACGAUUUUAAAAAAAUUUCAAAAGGUAAAUCGUCUCUUCAAGAGAUGAGUUCCAUGGAAAAAAAUAUAUAUUUUUUUAAAAAAAAAUUCCUUAAGGGAACUCGUCUCUUCAAUAAACGAGUUCCACAAAAAAUAUAUAUAUAAAUUCCCAAAAAAAAAAAACACAAUUCCUCAAUGGAGCUCGUCUCUUCAAGAGAUGAGUUCCAUGAAUAUAUAUUUUUAAAAAAAUUCUCAAAUUAUAAAAAAAAAAAAAAAAAAAAGGAAAAUUCCUCAAGGGAACUCGUCUCUUCAAGAGACGAGUUCCCAUGAAAUUUUUUUUUUUUAAAAAAAAAUAUAUUCCCAAAUUAAAAAAAAAAAAAAUAUUCCUCAAGGGAACUCGCCUUUUUUUUUUUUUUUUUUUUUUUUUAUAAUUUGGGAAUUUUUUUAAAAUAUAUAUAUAUAUAUAUAUUCAUGGAACUCGUCUCUUGAAGAGACGAGUUCCCUUGAGGAAUUUUCUUUUUUAUUUUUUUUUUAUUUCGGGAAUUUUUUUCGUUCCCUUGAGGAAUUGUUUUUUUUUUUUUUAAUAAUUUGGGAAUUUUUUAAUAUAUAUAUAUAUAUAUAUUUUCAUGGAACUCGUCUCUUGAAGAGACAAGUUCCCUUGAGGAAUUUUCUUUUUUUUCUUUUUAUUUUUUUAAUUUGGGAAUUUUUUUUCCAUGGGAACUCGUCUCUUGAAGAGACAAGUUCUCUUGAGGAAUUGUUUUUUUUUUAUAUAUAUAAUUUGGGAAUUUUUUUAUAUAUAUAUUUUCAUAGAACUCGUCUCUUGAAGAGAGGAUUUCCCUUUUGAAAUUUUUUUUAAAUCAUCUUUUGAAAUUUUUUUUAAAUCAUCUUUUGAAAAAACUAUUUGAAAUUUGAAAUGAUGAUUUUGGUUUUAAAAAAAAAUUAUCUACUCACCCUCUCUCCUCUCUCCUAAGUGGUAAAAACUACCGUAUAUUUGUAAUAACUUCUUCUACUAUAAUAAUUUAAGCAUAACUUUUUUAAAUUACCGUAUGAGAAAAGUCUCCUAAGAGUGAAGCCGCGAGCUGAGAGAAGUCCCACUGGCACUAAAAUUAGAGAAGGCUUCAGUUACGUCAUGAACCGAAAGAUUGAAGUGAAGCCAUCUAGAGGAGCCUUGCAAAAAAAAAUAUAUAUGGUGGAGCCGCAUUAGGGCAUGGGGUGAGUACAUAAGUGGAUGCAAGCUUCAUCCGUUGUCCAUUAAGCCUCUUUGGGUUACUGAAUACUGAGAGUAGCUCCAAAUUGCAAUGGCAAAUUCACCUGUAGUGUGGUUAGCAUCGGUGUGCCUUGUGUUCAAUAUCUUGUCCCUUCCAUUCCUAGCAUUGGGCUUAUCUUCUUGUGGUGGCUCAUGUCAAACACUUAAUGACUGUGAAGGUCAGCUCAUUUGCAUCAAUGGUAAAUGUAACGACGAUCCCGAGGUCGGGACUCACAUAUGUGGAGGAAACUCGAGUACCCCUUCCCCUCCAUCCCCCAGUACCUGCCAGCCCUCGGGAACUCUUGCGUGCAAGGGCGGAAAACCCAAAAAUACCUACACAUGCUCUCCUCCGGUCACCUCCUCCACGCCUGCCGUUCUAACUAACAAUAAUUUUGAAAAAGGAGGAGACGGUGGAGGCCCAUCCGCUUGCGACAACAAAUACCAUGACAAUUCAGAGCGCAUCGUAGCAUUGUCAACUGGGUGGUAUAAUGGGGGAUCCCGGUGUGGAAAGAUGAUCAGGAUAACGGCUCAAAAUGGGAGGAGCGUGUUGGCCAAAGUGGUGGAUGAGUGUGACUCCAUGCACGGCUGUGACAAAGAGCAUGCAGGUCAGCCCCCCUGUGAUAAUAACAUAGUUGAUGGAUCUAAUGCUGUGUGGAAUGCUUUGGGGCUGGAUAUCAAUAUUGGUGAAGUGGACGUUACUUGGUCCAUGGCUUAGGUAUAUGGUUGGUUGGUUACUCGGUUUUUGUGUGUACGUACGUACCCUCCUCUUUGUGUUCCCCUCUCUAUUUUGGUUUGUAUGGCUCCGCCAAGCACUAUUUUUAUGUAAUUUUGCAGCAAUAUAUGCAUGCACUGAAAUAAAACUGGAAGGCACUAGCCCAGUGCCACCAGAACCCCAUUAAGUGGUUUGAUUAAUGAAGAGUGAUUUGCGUCACGAUCUACUUGAACCAUCACAUUGAUUAUUAAUGCAACGCCUAAACUACAUCAACUUCCAAUGAGUAUUUUAUAUUAAUUUGACAUUGAGAUUCACCUUAUAUAUAGCAAUACUGAUCUUGGGAAAAUACAUAUUUUAAAAUUAAAAAGUUGUAAAAUCGAAAGAAACUUAAAAAGUAAAAAGAAAGAAAAGAAAAGAACAUAGAAGGUCUUAUCUAAUGGGUGGUACUAGAUCACUUUGAUGAGGUCGCAGUGAAGAAAUUAACAAGAUCCCCAGGAAAGAGAUGCUGUGCAAUAAGAAAUAUCAUCCUGGAACCCAAAUAUAAAAAGCCCCAUGGAGUUAUUGACGGGUACAUCAGUCAUAUAUAUACAUAUAUAAUACUUUGUCUUGAUCUAUACUUUUCAACAGUUUUUCUAUUAUUGUCUAUCCUAAUACAAGAUAAUUUAACUGAUAAAAGCCUAAGUGCCUUAUACCUAAACCAGAUUUCAUAUCUAUUUAUCUAUUAAAUAAUUUAAAAUAAAAUAAAAUAAUUAAAGUUAGAACACAAAUUAACUCUGAGAUAUGGAACUUAAAUGUUGAUUUUGUCACUUACUAGUCCAUAUUCAAAGUUGGGUUGUAGAAACCCAAUCUUGAUUAGUUGAAUUAAAAAUCAAUAAUUAGGGAAGAUAAAAAAAAACCAAUCAACACACAAAAUAAAAUAUUUUUAACAUGGAAAACUUUCAUGCAAUAUGAAGAAAUAAAAAGUCAGAAGUCAUAAACUUCAAAUCUACAUCUAUUAUAUGAGAAUACAAUACACACUUUUAUCUAGCAGAUUGCAUUUGAAUCUCAUCUUAGCGCUUAAAAUGAUGCAAAUCUCCUUCACAAUCCAACAAAGACAAACAUGAACACUUCCUUGAAAGCUUUAAGAAUAAGAAGACAAAUUACAUUUUCCAGCUAGAAAAACUAAGCCAAAAACCUUUUUGAGUAAGGUAUAUGUACGCCCACAGACUUAGUGGACCAAUUCUCAAAAAAUCCUCAUGCAAUUUAAAUCCUUUAAAAUUGGAAAGAGAAAACUUUAGAAUUCUAGAGGAUUCUAUGUCGAGUGCUCAAGCACCCUCAUAUAGGGAUGACAACGGGGUGGGUUCGGGACAGGUCGCCCCCAUCCCAACCCCACCCCGUUUAUUCGAAAUAAUUCUCAUUCCCAUCCCAUUUAAAAAAUUAAACGGGAUGGGACGGGCCGAGGCGAGUAUGAUAAAUUUUCAUACUUGUCCUGUUUAACUUUUUUUUUUUUUUAAUUUUUUUUAAAAAAAUUACUUUUAAAUUUUUAAUUAUAUUAAAAUAAAUAUAUUUUAUAAAUAAUUAAAUUAUUAUAUUUUUUAUAACUUAUUUUAUUAAAAAUAUUUUAUUAUUAUCUAUAUAUUAAAAAUAAUAAAAUAAAAAUUAAAUUAAAUUAAUUUUAAAUUAUAAAUUAAAUUAAAUUUAAAAAUUAAUUUUAUAUAUAAUCGGAGCAGGGCUGGGUGGAGUGGGGCAAUACCCGAACCAGUCCCGAGUUUUUAAAAAAAUUCUCAAACUCAUCACAAACCUAUUUAUUAAAAUUAAACUCCGUCCCAUUAGAGACGGGACGAGGCGGGUACCCGAAUAAACCCGCCCCAUUGCCAUCCCUACCCUCAGAGCAUUUGAGUGCUUCUCAAGCAUUGAAUCCAGGCUUCAAGGUUCAUGUAGUUUUUAAACCCUAAAAAAAAAUUCAUUUUGAUCAAUUUUAAAAACUCGAUGGAUGUCAUGCUACACCAACUACUAAUUUGUCUUUCUAAGACAUUUCUAUACUUACCAAACUCAAUCGAUGCCAUGUUAUACCAAAAUAUGUAUAUAUAAACCAUUUUAACAAGAUUUUAUUGAUUUUAGUUUUUAAAAAUAGUUUUUUAUUAACCAUAUUUUAGUAAAGGGAAAAAGAGAAAUUCUUAUUAGUAAAUGUUUUCUAAAACAAAUGGAACCCAAAACUCUAAAUGUGCUUUAGAAAUUUUUUGGAAAACCAAAACCUGUUUUCUAAAAGGUUGAAAGAAAGAUAAUAAACAAAAUCUUGUGAGAUCCUUCUAUAUGAAUAUCAUAAAUAUAAAUGAAAAUGAAAAUGAAUAAAAUUACACAAUAUAGCAUGACUUAUCUGUAUAUAUUUGAAAUAUAAUAUUCUUUUAUAAGUGUUAUUACAAUUUAAAGUUAUAUCAAGUAUAUAUAUUUUUUCAUAUUAGGUUAAUUCAUUUUAUUAUAUUUUAUAAAUAGAUUUAAACUUUUUCUUGCAUUAUUUUAAAAUAAAAUUAGAGUAAAGGAAAUGUAAAAUAUAUGAACAAAUUUAAUUUUAGUGUUUUUAUUUGAUUAAGAAAUAAACAAGAAAUAAAAUUUUAUACUUUUUAUUUUUAAAAACGAAUUUUCAUUUUGCUCAACCGAAAGCCUUUUCAAAGUGAUCAUUGUCAAGAGUAUGGGCAACCAAAGGCAGCUAGAGGUUUAGUUGUAGUGUGUAGCAUGUGCAAAGACUUUGAAUUCAAGCCAUAAACGUGCACUACCUCUCUCUCCCUUAGUUGCAUUUGUCAUGUUCUCUUGUGAUGAUCUCCUUUAGAUGCUUAGACCCUUUGGGUCACGUGAACUAGUGGCAAGAAAAAUGAAUUGAUUUCAUGAUGGAGAGUGUAGGGACCCCUCCCCUUGGGAAACACGUGGCACGCGGCUCAUGGUGACGCGUGGCACGUGCUGUCAGCCGGACCAUCAUCAUCCGGAUUCCCCUACAGAUACGUAUGGUGCGACUAUCCUAUCCGGAACCCCCCAAGGAAAGACAAACAACGUUUCAGCUUCUCCUAUCCAAGGAAGAGCAAACGACGCUGGCAGAACGUAGACACCCGGAUAGUCUCCACAAACACAUCCGGAUAUUCAGCAUGAUCCAUCCGGAUAUAAAUCGUCUGGAUGGUCAAUUAAAGUAAAGCGAGUCUUACACGCAAUCACAACAAGCAGCCAUGGCCCACAUCCCAUCACCUGCAGAAUGAGAAGACAAGAGGAAGUGACAGCAAGUCACUUCCCACGAUCAUUCUGCAUAAUCGCUUCCCACGAUCUCUGACAGCCGCAUCACCUACCAUGGUCUCUGACAGCCAUUCGUAGGAUGAUAGUGCUCCUACUAACACCUAUUGUCAUCAUCACAACAGAAAAUAUCUCCCCACCAUUAAUGAGAGGAACAGUACCCCUGAAGCUGUAUAUAUAUGACUUCACACGAAGAAGAAAGGGAUGAUCUCCCGGUAACCUCUUGACACCUAGUAAAAGGCCAACUGCCUCAUAUAUCUUAUUCUCUUAUCAUGGCUAACAACAUCAUCGGAGGGUGCAUCCGGACACCUUGUCCGGAUGCCUUUUUACAGGUACAACCACUGAAUCAAGAACCCCUUGUGUGUUGAGAAUCGCGUGUCCAUCCAUCUAGCAGCAACGCGGCCCACCUGAUACGCGAGGUGACAACAUUGGCGCCGUCUGUGGGAACCUUUUACUUUUUAUUUUGAUUCAGUCACUAGCAAAGAUGGCCACACCUUCCCAAAGUCGAUCAUCUGGUAGAGAGGAAGAAGAUAAUCACGAAUGGCGUCAAGCCAUCGAAAAAAGACAGUUGGCGAGCGAAAAACAGCUAAGAGCUCUCCUCCAGGAGACGGAGAGGUUAAGGGAAGAAAACGCUGUGUUACGCAUUCAAGCCUCAACAUCAAGACCUCCUCGUCGUCAGCGCUCAAAAGGUCAAGUGGCGAACUCAAGGCCAGAGCCAGAAUCAAUAUAUCCUGGGUCAACAGGAGCUGUCCCAGGAACAUACAACGCAAGGCCCCAUGAGCCACGCACACCCAUGCCUCGAGCUCCCCGUGAGGAAAGCUCAGAUUCCACUCAUUUCUCAGCAAAAAGACAACGUGAUAGAAAAUCACAGUUGUCAAGUUCUAUGCGCGCAAGACUAGACCCACAGGAGCCUGGGAGAUCAAGGCCACCAGUAGCCACAACUCGGGCGCCACGCCCCGAUCCUAUGAUUGCUCCCAUGGUGCAGAACGUACCUCCGCAUCGUGACCCCAUGGUCACCCCAGCGAUGCGGAACGUUCACUCACACCUAGCGGAACGAUCACUCACACCUAGCGGAACGACCAGCUGGGAGAAACCUCCCAAACGAGCCACCCAUUGGCUCCAUCAGCAAAAGGCUGGAUGACAUGCUCUCCACGCCCUUUUGCUCUCAUAUCACCCAUUACGAGCCCCCAAGAGGAUUUCUCGUACCAAAGUUUUCCACAUACGAUGGGACCAACGAUCCCUUCGAUCACAUCAUGCACUAUCGACAGCUUAUGACGCUCGAUAUUGGCAACGAUGCAUUAUUAUGCAAAGUAUUCCUUGCCAGCCUUCAAGGGCAGGCCCUUUCAUGGUUUCAUCGCCUACCUCCUAACUCUGUUGACAAUUUUAGGGACCUCUCUGAAGCAUUCGUGGGACAGUACUUAUGCUCUGCUCGACACAAGCAGAAUAUCAGCACCCUCCAGAACAUAAAAAUGAAAGACAACGAAUCCUUGAGGGAAUUUGUGAAACGAUUUGGCCAAGCCGUACUCCAAAUAGAGGUUUGCAGCAUGGACGCUGUCCUACAGAUCUUCAAAAGAAGCAUCUGUCCAGGCACCCCAUUUUUCGAAUCGCUGGCAAAAAAACCUCCUACAACGAUGGACGAUUUGUUCAGACGCGCUAACAAAUAUUCAAUGCUCGAAGAUGACGUACGUGCAGCCACUCAGCAAGUUUUGGUUGCCGGACGGGCUUCUAGAGAUAACGUGGACAGACAUGCCAAACCUCCGGACCGGCCAAAACCAAUUGACCGGAGGCAGGACGGGCCGAGUCGUCCGGAUAGGCCGUCCAUCACACCCCUAUCCAUAUCAUACGAAAAACUUCUCCCAAUGAUCCAAGGGUUGUCCGACUUCAGGUGGCCUAGACCCCUCGAAACGGACCCAUCUAUAAGAGACCGCAGCAAGAAAUGCGCCUUCCACAAAGACCAUGGUCAUACAACAAAGACAUGUCGGUCCCUCCAGUAUCUAGUUGAGAGGCUCAUCAAAGCAAGACAUUUAAAACAGUACCUCCCCUCAGAUACUGGAGGAAGGGACGCAUCACAGCAUCAUAACUCUGGGGCCCCGAGGGCCCCAGUCGCCCCCAAGGCUGUCAUAAACUAUAUCAACGGGGGCCCAUCUGACGAGGAAUACGAUUCCAGGCGGAAAAGACAGAAAUUGCUGCGAGCCGCGUCAAUACGCGAACGCAUUAAUUCCAUCCGGCCGGGUCUUACUGGGGAGGGCCCUCGCCCCAUUGAUGGGACAAUCAUUUUCCCACCAGUAGAUCCCACCCGAACGCUACAGCCACAUCGCGACGCCCUCAUCCUCUCUCUAGAAAUAGGAGAUUUUGAUGUAAGACGUAUCUUGGUUGAUCCAGGCAGUUCAGCCGAUCUAGUACAAGCAUCAGUCAUUGGCCAUAUGGGACAUAGUCCCGCGGGUCUCGAAAACCCCGGACGAAUCUUAUCCGGAUUCAACGGAUCAUCAACAACAUCCUUAGGAGACAUUAUACUGCCGAUUCGAGCUGGACCAGUCACUCUCAACGUGCAAUUCUCGGUGGUACAAGAGUUGUCACCCUUCAAUGUCAUCUUGGGACGCACAUGGCUUCACUACAUGAAAGCCAUCCCUUCCACAUAUCAUCAAAUGGUGAGUUUCCUCACCAACGAAGGGCAAACUGACUUGUAUGGCAGCCAGUUAGCCGCUCGCCAGUGCUACCAAAUAGCACGUGAAGCAGUCGCUAACCAGGAGGAUGCAUCUCCCCCUGAACCUAGCAUUGCGCACGACCAAUAGCAAUUAUUGGGUCCGGUGGACAAGGAUCCCCCGGUAGCAGAUCCCUUACAAACAAUCCAAAUCUCAGAAGAGAAUGAUCACCUCACAAACGUCAGUUCCCUCAUGACACAAGAAGAAACCCAGAGCAUACAAAAUAUCCUUCGAAGCAACCAUGACAUCUUCGCAUGGACACAUUCGGAUAUGAAGGGAAUUCAUCCCUCUAUCGCCUCUCACAAGCUUAACGUCCUUCCAGCAGCCAGACCCAUUCGACAGAAGAUUAGACGCUUUCACCCGGAUAGACAAAGAGUUAUCCAAGAUGAAAUUAACAAAUUGUUGGAAGCAGGAUUCAUCAGAGAGGUAUCUUAUCCGGAUUGGUUGGCAAAUGUAGUAGUGGUACCAAAGAAAGAGGGCAAAUGGCGAGUCUGUGUUGAUUACACCAAUCUCAAUAAUGCAUGCCCAAAAGACAGUUUUCCCUUACCACGGAUAGAUCAAAUUGUGGAUUCCACUUCCGGGCAAGGGAUGCUCUCUUUCUUGGAUGCCUUCUCCGGAUAUCACCAAAUUCCCAUGUCUCCGGAUGACGAAGAAAAAACAGCAUUCAUAACGCCACACGGCCUCUAUUGCUACAAAGUCAUGCCAUUCGGACUCAAAAACGCUGGCGCCACGUAUCAAAGAUUGAUGACUAAAAUCUUCAAACCUCUGAUAGGCCGCUCGGUCGAGGUAUACAUUGACGAUAUCGUGGUUAAAAGCAAAACUCGAGAGCAGCAUAUCCUCCAUCUACAAGAAGUAUUUUACCUCUUGCGAAAGUACGACAUGAAGCUAAAUCCUUCCAAAUGUGCCUUUGGCGUGAGUGCUGGCAAGUUUCUGGGAUUUAUGGUCAGCCAAAGAGGCAUAGAAGUCAGCCCGGAUCAAGUCAAAGCAGUCAUGGAGACACCUCCCCCCAGGAACAAAAAGGAGUUACAACGCCUCACAGGCAAGCUCGUUGCGUUAGGACGUUUUAUAGCCCGCUUCACUGAUGAGUUGCGACCCUUCUUCUUAGCGAUACGAAAAGCUGGAACCCAGGGAUGGACGGACAAUUGCCAAAACGCGUUGGAAAGAAUUAAACAUUGUCUUAUGCAUCCACCCAUCUUGAGCAGCCCCAUCCCAAAGGAAAAGCUAUAUAUGUAUUUAGCUGUCUCAGAAUGGGCAAUCAGCACCGCUCUAUUCCGCUGCCCUUCACCAAAGGAGCAGAAACCUGUCUACUAUGUCAGCAGGGCAUUGGCAGAUGUAGAAACCAGGUAUUCAAAAAUGGAGCUAACAGCCUUAGCUCUUCGAAGUGCUGCCCAAAAGCUCCGCCCCUAUUUUCAAGCCCACCCAGUGAUUGUACUGACCGAUCAACCCCUUCGCAGCAUUCUACACAAACCAGAUUUAACUGGGCGAAUGCUACAAUGGGCCAUCGAAUUGAGCGAAUUUGGAAUCGAAUUCCAACCCAGAUUAUCCAAAAAAGGCCAAGUAAUGGCCGACUUUGUGCUCGAAUAUUCACGAAGACCCAACCAGCACCACGAAUCAAGUGAACAGGAGUGGUGGACACUACGAGUUGACGGAGCCUCGCGCUCAUCAGGCUCUGGAGUUGGGCUCGUAUUACAGUCCCCAACUAGGGAACAUCUGGAGCAAACCAUCCGGUUGGGAUUCUCCGCGUCUAACAAUGAGGCAGAAUACGAGGCCAUCCUGUCCGGAUUGGACCUCGCCCUUGCUCUAUCUGUCUCCAAACUCCGGAUCUACAGCGACUCGCAACUAGUGGUAAGGCACAUCCAGAAAGAAUAUGAGGCUAAGGACUCACGCAUGGCGCGAUACUUGGCCAAAGUAAGAAGCACCUUACAGCAAUUCACCGAGUGGACAAUCGAAAAAAUUAAGCGAGCUGACAAUAGGCACGCUGACGCUUUGGCCGGCAUAGCUGCCUCUCUACCUAUCAAAGAAGCCAUUCUAUUGCCCAUAUAUGUGCAAGCCAAUCCCUCUGUCGCAGAAAAUUCCACUUGCAACACCAUUGAGGCAACCCAAACGGAUAAUCAAGAAUGGACGCAGGAUAUUGCAGAAUAUAUCCGGACAGGCACUUUACCCAAAGAUCUUAAACAAGCACACAAAAUCCGGGUGCAGGCUGCCCGCUUCACCCUGAUCGGGGGANNNNNNNNNNNNNNNNNNNNNNNNNNNNNNNNNNNNNNNNNNNNNNNNNNNNNNNNNNNNNNNNNNNNNNNNNNNNNNNNNNNNNNNNNNNNNNNNNNNNNNNNNNNNNNNNNNNNNNNNNNNNNNNNNNNNNNNNNNNNNNNNNNNNNNNNNNNNNNNNNNNNNNNNNNNNNNNNNNNNNNNNNNNNNNNNNNNNNNNNNNNNNNNNNNNNNNNNNNNNNNNNNNNNNNNNNNNNNNNNNNNNNNNNNNNNNNNNNNNNNNNNNNNNNNNNNNNNNNNNNNNNNNNNNNNNNNNNNNNNNNNNNNNNNNNNNNNNNNNNNNNNNNNNNNNNNNNNNNNNNNNNNNNNNNNNNNNNNNNNNNNNNNNNNNNNNNNNNNNNNNNNNNNGAGUCCGGACUGUAGAUCGCGCGUCAAACGCGGCUUCUUGAGGGGAGGCCCUUUCACCAGGACUAUAGCCAGGCGAUCCGGGUCGUCGGAAGGCUGACUUUGGCUUUCUGCUCCCGCUUCCUCCAACGGGGCCGUUUCAGCUGCAUCAGCAUCCGGAUUAAGGUUGCCCGGACGGUUGAUAGAUGCAGCUUCCUCAGCCACGUUAGCCAGACGCGCAGCCGCGACCAAGGAAGGACCUGAGUGAUUCAACCCCGACAUGCGUCCGGGGCCGCUUGAGAUAGAGUGCGGAGCAGCAUUUACUGGCUCCUCUAUCAUUACUUCCCCCUCAUAGGUAGUUUGGGGAGGAGGAAACUGCUUGGGAGGAGUGGGUUCCUUCAUGUCCUUCCCAUGCUUCUUCACCAGCUUCCCCCUUUUUCCUGAAGUUUUCUUUGGAGGAGAGUCCGGACCCCGCUUCUGUCCGGGAGCCUUCCGGAUAGUGCCUUCAGUUUUUUUCUGAUCUCUAUCCUCCAGGAGCUUUCGCCGCCUUUCAGCGUCAGCCUCUUUGGCUUCCUGACAGAGGGGGAGCUCCUUCACAGUAUAAUGCUCCCCAGGCACUAUCUCAUCCUUUGCCAAUUUCCUAGGAAGAAUAUUGAUAACAUAUUCCUGGGGCUCCCGGACGACCUCCGUCAAAUUCCGCGCGGAAAGCAAUGUUUUGUAGGCCCUCUCCUUGGGGUCUAUUUCAAAUAAUUUGCAGACGCAGGCAAAGGACGCCUUUUCCACCCAAUCCACAAGGUGGCCCCUCAAUUCCAAACCUGCAUUGUCAGCAACAAAGGGUGAGAAUUCUGUCCGGAAAAAUCAGAAAAAAUCAGCAAAGCAAAAUCCGAAUAAAAAAUCGCAAAACAAGAUUACCCGGGAUUUGUAAGGUAUAAUUCGGAGAAAAAGGCCUCGACGGAUGCUGCGAUAGCCCCGCCCAUCCACCCCAGACUGCCACCAGCCCCUUCGCCCCUCCCUUUGUCGAAUCUGGCAGUUCUGUCACCAUUUGAAGGGAGGGCAGGUGAGCGGACACACUGAAGAUAUCAUUCUUUGCUUUCUUCAGGGAAUAGACAAAGAACAAUUCCAGUAGCGUAAGGUCGAGGCUGUACAGCAUGUUGAUAAUGCUGCAUCCCAUCAGCACCCGGACAAGGUUGGGAUGAAUGAAGAUGGGUGGAAUCUGAGAGAAGUGGAGGAAUUCCUUGAACAAGGCUGGCAGAGGGAACCGGAGCCCCGCGUUGAAUUGUUCCUUUGUGAAGAGGAUAGCGUUUUUUCCACCUUUCUCAGUAGGAAUAGCCGCCUCCUCGUUCACCAGGUCUAUCAAUACGUCAUGGGGGAUGCGGAAUCGCUCCCGGAACUCCUUCGCAUUUANNNNNNNNNNNNNNNNNNNNNNNNNNNNNNNNNNNNNNNNNNNNNNNNNNNNNNNNNNNNNNNNNNNNNNNNNNNNNNNNNNNNNNNNNNNNNNNNNNNNAAUCUGGCAGUUCUGUCACCAUUUGAAGGGAGGGCAGGUGAGCGGACACACUGAAGAUAUCAUUCUUUGCUUUCUUCAGGGAAUAGACAAAGAACAAUUCCAGUAGCGUAAGGUCGAGGCUGUACAGCAUGUUGAUAAUGCUGCAUCCCAUCAGCACCCGGACAAGGUUGGGAUGAAUGAAGAUGGGUGGAAUCUGAGAGAAGUGGAGGAAUUCCUUGAACAAGGCUGGCAGAGGGAACCGGAGCCCCGCGUUGAAUUGUUCCUUUGUGAAGAGGAUAGCGUUUUUUCCACCUUUCUCAGUAGGAAUAGCCGCCUCCUCGUUCACCAGGUCUAUCAAUACGUCAUGGGGGAUGCGGAAUCGCUCCCGGAACUCCUUCGCAUUUAGUUUAUCUAUCGCCUUUUCGCCAGCCUCGCUGACCCGGACAGACGAAACAGUCUUUUUUGGAGUCAUUUCUUACCACAAAGCCAAAGCAAAAUCUACACGCAAAAACAAUGCAAACGGUCCAGACCAAGCAAUCAGAAAAUACACAAACUCAAAGCAGUCAGAAAAACCCCUCAAAAACCCCUCCAAACAAACAACAAAGUACCAACAUUAAACAAACAAUUGCAAGCGACUUGUUCAAAACAAAGCCAGGAACCAAGUUUAAAGAACCGGCAAACGCAACCAAAGGAAUGACAAUAGCAAAGAGGUACGUACCAAAUAGAGCUCUGGAGAAGAAAAACGGUUACUCUCUCGGUAUAAAAUCACCGGCAACAAACAAACGAGGUCGUUCGAAGUUUUUCUCAGAAAAGCAAAGGACGCAGAAAAAGUAAGAAGAAGGAAGGCUCUCAAGAGAAUGCAGUAGAAAAAAUACAAAAAGAGGUACAGUGCCCUAUUUAUAGCAGGACAGCCCCUCGGAAAGCCAAACCAACAGCCGUGUUAUCAUUGAAACGACAUAUUGCCUGGGGAUACACAGGGUCGGCGGCUCGCCAUAAAUGCCUUUUUUGGCUUUCGCACCCCCACUCGCCACGUGGCUAAGUUAGACGAAUGGACUUUUUCAAUUUUCAAAAACCCAGUUAUUUUUAACCCGCCCAUUUUUUGGCAAAAUAAGCAAGUUAAAAAGGGGGGCAAUGUAGGGACCCCUCCCCUUGGGAAACACGUGGCACGCGGCUCAUGGUGACGCGUGGCACGUGCUGUCAGCCGGACCAUCAUCAUCCGGAUUCCCCUACAGAUACGUAUGGUGCGACUAUCCUAUCCGGAACCCCCCAAGGAAAGACAAACAACGUUUCAGCUUCUCCUAUCCAAGGAAGAGCAAACGACGCUGGCAGAACGUAGACACCCGGAUAGUCUCCACAAACACAUCCGGAUAUUCAGCAUGAUCCAUCCGGAUAUAAAUCGUCUGGAUGGUCAAUUAAAGUAAAGCGAGUCUUACACGCAAUCACAACAAACAGCCAUGGCCCACAUCCCAUCACCUGCAGAAUGAGAAGACAAGAGGAAGUGACAGCAAGUCACUUCCCACGAUCAUUCUGCAUAAUCGCUUCCCACGAUCUCUGACAGCCGCAUCACCUACCAUGGUCUCUGACAGCCAUUCGUAGGAUGAUAGUGCUCCUACUAACACCUAUUGUCAUCAUCACAACAGAAAAUAUCUCCCCACCAUUAAUGAGAGGAACAGUACCCCUGAAGCUGUAUAUAUAUGACUUCACACGAAGAAGAAAGGGAUGAUCUCCCGGUAACCUCUUGACACCUAGUAAAAGGCCAACUGCCUCAUAUAUCUUAUUCUCUUACCAUGGCUAACAACAUCAUCGGAGGGUGCAUCCGGACACCCUGUCCGGAUGCCUUUUUGCAGGUACAACCACUGAAUCAAGAACCCCUUGUGUGUUGAGAAUCGCGUGUCCAUCCAUCUAGCAGCAACGCGGCCCACCUGAUACGCGAGGUGACAACAGAGAGGUCAUCAUGCUCAUCCUAGUGCCAAUUAACUCAAAACAACUAAGGAUAAUUCUAUGAUGGGGUAAUUAUCGAACAAGGUGAUAUUACAUGAUAAGAAAAAGGUUUAUUUGAUAUCUCAAUAUAAUUUGAUAUUUAGGUUGCUUAAAAAGAUUAAAAUGAGAUUGAAGAAUGAUCCGUCAUUUUCGAAUUGUGUGGCGGGUCGAGUGUGGGGAACAUCAUCCUAAGAGUAAAGCCACGCCAGAGAGAAGUCCCACUGGCACUGAAAUCAAGGCAACUAGAAGAAAAGGCUUCAGUUACGUCGUCAACCGAAAGAGUUGAAGUGAAGCCAUCCAGAUGAGGCAUUAACUGCAAAGAAAAAACAAAACAUGUGGCUGCUUAAUUUCUUGAUAUGGUGGAGCCGCAUGAGGGCAUGAGUUGAGUAUAUAAGUGGAUGCAAGCUUCAUUCCUUGACCAUUAAGCCUCUUUGGGUUACUGAAUACUGAGAGUAGAACCAAAUUGCAAUGGCAAAUUCACCUGUAGUGUGGUUAGCAUCCGUGUGGCUUGUGUCCAAUAUAUUGUCCCUUCCAUUCCUGGAAUUGGGUAUAUCUUCUUGUGGUGGCUCAUGUCAAACACUUAAUGACUGUGAAGGUCAGCUCAUGCAUCGAUGGUAAAUGUAACGACGAUCCCGAGGUCGGGACUCACAUAAAUGGAGGAAGUUCAAUUACCCCUCCACCUCCACCUCCCGGUACCUGCCAGCCCUCCGGAACUCUUGCGUGCAAUGGUGGAAAACCCAAAAAUACCUACACAUGCUCUCCUCCGGUCACCUCCUCCACGCCUGCCGUUCUAACUAACAAUAAUUUUGAAAAAGGAGGGGACGGUGGAGGCCCAUCCACUUGCGACAACAAAUACCAUGACAAUUCAGAGCGCAUCGUAGCAUUGUCAACUGGGUGGUAUAAUGGGGGAUCCCAGUGUGGAAAGAUGAUUAGGAUAACGACUCAAAAUGGGAGGAGCGUGUCACAGUGGUGGAUGAGUGUGAC
This 22578-nucleotide long non-coding RNA is filed under the name Vitis vinifera (wine grape). RNAcentral's name for it is "long non-coding RNA (VVIN_LNC001695)". Lineage: Eukaryota; Viridiplantae; Streptophyta; Magnoliopsida; Vitales; Vitaceae. The record is from RNAcentral.